Molecule: ribosomal RNA, 583 nt
Filed under: Streptococcus mutans
Lineage: Bacteria; Bacillati; Bacillota; Bacilli; Lactobacillales; Streptococcaceae
Description: bacterial SSU rRNA
Rfam family: Bacterial small subunit ribosomal RNA
Source: RNAcentral
AAUGGACGAAAGUCUGACCGAGCAACGCCGCGUGAGUGAAGAAGGUUUUCGGAUCGUAAAGCUCUGUUGUAAGUCAAGAACGUGUGUGAGAGUGGAAAGUUCACACAGUGACGGUAGCUUACCAGAAAGGGACGGCUAACUACGUGCCAGCAGCCGCGGUAAUACGUAGGUCCCGAGCGUUGUCCGGAUUUAUUGGGCGUAAAGGGAGCGCAGGCGGUCAGGAAAGUCUGGAGUAAAAGGCUAUGGCUCAACCAUAGUGUGCUCUGGAAACUGUCUGACUUGAGUGCAGAAGGGGAGAGUGGAAUUCCAUGUGUAGCGGUGAAAUGCGUAGGAUAUAUGGAGGAACACCAGUGGCGAAAGCGGCUCUCUGGUCUGUCACUGACGCUGAGGCUCGAAAGCGUGGGUAGCGAACAGGAUUAGAUACCCUGGUAGUCCACGCCGUAAACGAUGAGUGCUAGGUGUUAGGCCCUUUCCGGGGCUUAGUGCCGGAGCUACGCAAUAAGCACUCCGCCUGGGGAGUACGACCGCAAGGUUGAAACUCAAAGGAAUUGACGGGGGCCCGCACAAGCGGUGGAGCAUGUGG